AAAUUGAAGAGUUUGAUCAUGGCUCAGAUUGAACGCUGGCGGCAGGCCUAACACAUGCAAGUCGAGCGGAAACGAGUUAUCUGAACCUUCGGGGGACGAUAACGGCGUCGAGCGGCGGACGGGUGAGUAAUGCCUAGGAAAUUGCCCUGGUGUGGGGGAUAACCAUUGGAAACGAUGGCUAAUACCGCAUAAUACCUACGGGUCAAAGAGGGGGACCUUCGGGCCUCUCGCGUCAGGAUAUGCCUAGGUGGGAUUAGCUA
Molecule: ribosomal RNA, 260 nt
Filed under: Vibrio parahaemolyticus
Lineage: Bacteria; Pseudomonadati; Pseudomonadota; Gammaproteobacteria; Vibrionales; Vibrionaceae
Description: partial 16S ribosomal RNA
Rfam family: Bacterial small subunit ribosomal RNA
Source: RNAcentral